RNAcentral lists this ribosomal RNA (496 nucleotides) under uncultured bacterium. RNAcentral's name for it is "partial 16S ribosomal RNA". It matches the Rfam family "Bacterial small subunit ribosomal RNA", at positions 29 to 507 of the family's 1533-position model. The record is from RNAcentral.
AUGCACGCUGGCGGCGUGCCUCAUCCCUGCCAGUCGAGCGAACAGACGAGGAGCUUGCUCCUCUGACGUUAGCGGCGGACGGGUGAGUAACGCGUGGAUAACCUACCUAUAAGACUGGGAUAACUUCGGGAAACCGGAGCUAAUACCGGAUAACAUGUUGAACCGCAUGGUUCAACAGUGAAAGACGGUCUUGCUGUCACUUAUAGAUGGAUCCGCGCCGCAUUAGCUAGUUGGUAAGGUAACGGCUUACCAAGGCAACGAUGCGUAGCCGACCUGAGAGGGUGAUCGGCCACACUGGAACUGAGACACGGUCCAGACUCCUACGGGAGGCAGCAGUAGGGAAUCUUCCGCAAUGGGCGAAAGCCUGACGGAGCAACGCCGCGUGAGUGAAGAAGGUCUUCGGAUCGUAAAACUCUGUUAUUAGGGAAGAACAAAUGUGUAAGUAACUAUGCACGUCUUGACGGUACCUAAUCAGAAAGCCACGGCUAACUACGUG